UUGGAGGGCAAGUCUGGUGCCAGCAGCCGCGGUAAUUCCAGCUCCAAUAGCGUAUAUUAAAGUUGCUGCAGUUAAAAAGCUCGUAGUUGAAUUUCGGGACCAAUAUGUCGGUCGUGCCUCGGUACGUACUGGCAUCGUUGGUUUCUCCCUUCUGACGAACCAUGAUGUCAUUUAUUUGGUGUCGUGAGGAAUCAGGACUGUUACUUUGAAAAAAUUAGAGUGUUUAAAGCAGGCUCACGCUUGAAUACAUUAGCAUGGAAUAAUGAAAUAGGACGUUUGAUUCUAUUUUGUUGGUUUCUAGGAUCGACGUAAUGAUUAAUAGGGAUAGUUGGGGGCAUUAGUAUUCAAUUGUCAGAGGUGAAAUUCUUGGAUUUAUUGAAGACUAACUACUGCGAAAGCAUUUGCCAAGGAUGUUUUCAUUAAUCAAGAACGAAAGUUAGGGGAUCGAAGACGAUCAGAUACCGUCGUAGUCUUAACCAUAAACUAUGCCGACUAGGGAUCGGAUGAUGUUAAUUUUUUAAUGACUCAUUCGGCGCCUUACGGGAAAC
Molecule: ribosomal RNA, 548 nt
Filed under: uncultured Glomus
Lineage: Eukaryota; Fungi; Glomeromycota; Glomeromycetes; Glomerales; Glomeraceae
Description: SSU rRNA
Rfam family: Eukaryotic small subunit ribosomal RNA
Source: RNAcentral